AAUAAAGUGCCUGAAUUUUAAGGGCUACUUUGAUGUAGUAGAAAUGUGAUUUUGAUUUGCCUUUAUUG
This 68-nucleotide transfer RNA is filed under the name Euborellia arcanum. RNAcentral's name for it is "tRNA-Ile". The record is from RNAcentral. Lineage: Eukaryota; Metazoa; Arthropoda; Insecta; Dermaptera; Anisolabididae.